Molecule: ribosomal RNA, 230 nt
Filed under: uncultured bacterium
Lineage: Bacteria
Description: partial 16S ribosomal RNA
Rfam family: Bacterial small subunit ribosomal RNA
Source: RNAcentral
CGGGGUGGAGUAAUGUCUGGGAAACUGCCUGAUGAGGGGGGAUAACUGCUGGAAACGGUAGCUAAUACCGCAUAACGUCGCAAGACCAAAGAGGGGGACCUUCGGGCCUCUUGCCAUCGGAUGUGCCCAGAUGGGAUUAGCUAGUAGGUGGGGUAACGGCUCACCUAGGCGACGAUCCCUAGCUGGUCUGAGAGGAUGACCAGCCACACUGGAACUGAGACACGGUCCAG